Molecule: ribosomal RNA, 492 nt
Filed under: uncultured bacterium
Lineage: Bacteria
Description: partial 16S ribosomal RNA
Rfam family: Bacterial small subunit ribosomal RNA
Source: RNAcentral
GAUGAACGCUAGCUACAGGCUUAACACAUGCAAGUCGAGGGGAAACGGCAUCGAAAGCUUGCUUUUGAUGGGCGUCGACCGGCGCACGGGUGAGUAACGCGUAUCCAACCUGCCCAUCACUUGGGAAUAACCUUGCGAAAGUAAGACUAAUGCCCAAUGACAUCCCACGAAGGCAUCCGAAUGGGAUUAAAGAUUUAUCGGUGAUGGAUGGGGAUGCGUCUGAUUAGCUUGUUGGCGGGGUGACGGCCCACCAAGGCAACGAUCAGUAGGGGUUCUGAGAGGAAGGUCCCCCACAUUGGAACUGAGACACGGUCCAAACUCCUACGGGAGGCAGCAGUGAGGAAUAUUGGUCAAUGGGCGAGAGCCUGAACCAGCCAAGUAGCGUGCAGGAGGACGGCCCUAUGGGUUGUAAACUGCUUUUAGAAGGGAAUAAAGUGGGUCACGUGUGACUUUUUGCAUGUACCUUAUGAAUAAGGACCGGCUAAUUCCGUG